Molecule: ribosomal RNA, 468 nt
Filed under: uncultured bacterium
Lineage: Bacteria
Description: partial 16S ribosomal RNA
Rfam family: Bacterial small subunit ribosomal RNA
Source: RNAcentral
GACGAACGCUGGCGGCGUGCUUAACACAUGCAAGUCGAACGGAAAGGCCCUGCUUUUGUGGGGUGCUCGAGUGGCGAACGGGUGAGUAACACGUGAGUAACCUGCCCUUGACUUUGGGAUAACUUCAGGAAACUGGGGCUAAUACCGGAUAGGAGCUCCUGCUGCACGGUGGGGGUUGGAAAGUUUCGGCGGUUGGGGAUGGACUCGCGGCUUAUCAGCUUGUUGGUGGGGUAGUGGCUUACCAAGGCUUUGACGGGUAGCCGGCCUGAGAGGGUGACCGGCCACAUUGGGACUGAGAUACGGCCCAGACUCCUACGGGAGGCAGCAGUGGGGAGUAUUGCACAAUGGGCGGAAGCCUGAUGCAGCAACGCCGCGUGCGGGAUGACGGCCUUCGGGUUGUAAACCGCUUUCGCCUGUGACGAAGCGUGAGUGACGGUAAUGGGUAAAGAAGCACCGGCUAACUACGUG